AUUGAACGCUGGCGGCAGGCCUAACACAUGCAAGUCGAGCGGAUGAAGGGAGCUUGCUCCUGGAUUCAGCGGCGGACGGGUGAGUAAUGCCUAGGAAUCUGCCUGGUAGUGGGGGAUAACGUCCGGAAACGGGCGCUAAUACCGCAUACGUCCUGAGGGUGAAAGUGGGGGAUCUUCGGACCUCACGCUAUCAGAUGAGCCUAGGUCGGAUUAGCUAGUUGGUGGGGUAAAGGCCUACCAAGGCGACGAUCCGUAACUGGUCUGAGAGGAUGAUCAGUCACACUGGAACUGAGACACGGUCCAGACUCCUACGGGAGGCAGCAGUGGGGAAUAUUGGACAAUGGGCGAAAGCCUGAUCCAGCCAUGCCGCGUGUGUGAAGAAGGUCUUCGGAUUGUAAAGCACUUUAAGUAGGGAGGAAGGGCAGUAAGUUAAUACCUUGCUGUUUUGACGUUACCAACAGAAUAAGCACCGGCUAACUUCGUG
Molecule: ribosomal RNA, 484 nt
Filed under: uncultured bacterium
Lineage: Bacteria
Description: partial 16S ribosomal RNA
Rfam family: Bacterial small subunit ribosomal RNA
Source: RNAcentral